AGGGAUUGCCUUAGUAACGGCGAGUGAAGCGGCAAUAGCUCAAAUUUGAAAGCUGGCCCCUUCGGGGUCCGCGUUGUAAUUUGUAGAGGAUGAUUCGGCGAGGGCUCCCGUCUAAGUCCCUUGGAACAGGGCGUCAUAGAGGGUGAGAAUCCCGUAUGUGAUGGGCUGCCUUAGCCAUGUGAAUCUCCUUCGACGAGUCGAGUUGUUUGGGAAUGCAGCUCUAAAUGGGAGGUAAAUUUCUUCUAAAGCUAAAUACCGGCCAGAGACCGAUAGCGCACAAGUAGAGUGAUCGAAAGAUGAAAAGCACUUUGGAAAGAGAGUUAAAAAGUACGUGAAAUUGUUGAAAGGGAAGCGCUUGCAGCCAGACUUGUCCGCAGUUGCUCAGCUUGUCUCCUGACAGGCGUACUCUUCUGCGGCCAGGCCAGCAUCAGUUCGGGCGGUCGGAUAAAGACCUAGGGAAUGUAGCUCCUCUCGGGGAGUGUUAUAGCCCUGGGUGCAAUGCGGCCAGCCUGGACUGAGGAUCUCGCUUCGGCUAGGAUGCUGGCGUAAUGGCUGUAAGCGGCCCGUCUUGAAACACGGACCAAGGAGUCUAACAUCUAUGCGAGUGUUUGGGUGUCAAACCCAUGCGCGUAAUGAAAGUGAACGGAGGUGGGAACCCUCACGGGUGCACCAUCGACCGAUCCUGAUGUCUUCGGAUGGAUUUGAGUAAGAGCAUAGCUGUUGGGACCCGAAAGAUGGUGAACUAUGCCUGAAUAGGGUGAAGCCAGAGGAAACUCUGGUGGAGGCUCGCAGCGGUUCUGACGUGCAAAUCGAUCGUCAAAUUUGGGUAUAGGGGCGAAAGACUAAUCGA
RNAcentral lists this ribosomal RNA (850 nucleotides) under Neofusicoccum kwambonambiense. Its description in RNAcentral is "eukaryotic LSU rRNA". It matches the Rfam family "Eukaryotic large subunit ribosomal RNA", at positions 70 to 938 of the family's 3401-position model. The record is from RNAcentral. Lineage: Eukaryota; Fungi; Ascomycota; Dothideomycetes; Botryosphaeriales; Botryosphaeriaceae.